UGAGCAAUCUGCCCAUCUCUUUGGAAUAAGCGUUGGAAACGACGUCUAAUGCCGAAUACGACCUCCUUUCGCAUGAUCGGAGGUGGAAAGCUCCGGCGGAGAUGGAUGAGCUCGCGGCCUAUCAGCUAGUCGGUGAGGUAACGGCCCACCAAGGCGACGACGGGUAGCUGGUCUGAGAGGAUGGCCAGCCACAUUGGGACUGAGAUACGGCCCAGACUCCGUAACGGGG
Molecule: ribosomal RNA, 229 nt
Filed under: uncultured bacterium
Lineage: Bacteria
Description: partial 16S ribosomal RNA
Rfam family: Bacterial small subunit ribosomal RNA
Source: RNAcentral